GACGAAGGGGGCUAGCGUUGUUCGGAAUUACUGGGCGUAAAGCGCGUGUAGGCGGUUGUUCAAGUCAGGUGUGAAAGCCUUGAGCUCAACUCAAGAAAUGCACUUGAUACUGGAUGACUAGAGGACCGGAGAGGAUAGUGGAAUUCCCAGUGUAGUGGUGAAAUACGUAGAGAUUGGGAAGAACACCAGUGGCGAAGGCGGCUAUCUGGACGGUUUCUGACGCUAAGACGCGAAAGCGUGGGGAGCAACAGG
Molecule: ribosomal RNA, 252 nt
Filed under: uncultured bacterium
Lineage: Bacteria
Description: partial 16S ribosomal RNA
Rfam family: Bacterial small subunit ribosomal RNA
Source: RNAcentral